AUUGCGUUUAUAACGCCAUCUUUUGACAUUUCAUAAUAUACAACAAAAUAACUGUCAAAGUGCUGUCAAAUUUAAUUAAAGUGAAUUUUAAAGUAUUGAAUUUAAAUUAUUUGAAAAAAAACGCCUUUUUGAGUGAAUAUAAAUAUGACAACAUAGAAUUAAGGUCGUAUUAUGGAAAAUUUCCAUAUAAACAACUUUGAAAAAUGUUAGCGUGACCUUAAAAAAAACUUGCAAAGUUAAAAUAAAGUUUUCUUUUACGAUAUAAUAAAAAUGAUAUAGGCGAAGUUAUUGUUGAAGUAGUCGAGGGUGGGAUAUAAAAUCAAUAUUAUAACAAAGAACCUAAUGAGGUGAAAAACUCUUCAAACUAUUUCAAGGCGUGGUAUCGAAUAGAAAUUGAAAAAAUAUAACCUAAUAAAGAUUAUAAUUUUAGAAUUAAUCUUUUGAAAUAAAAAUUAAUGUGAGAAAAUGCAUCCGGUUCAAUCAUUUUUAUGAUUGAUUGCCAUAAAACAUGCAAAAUAUCUAUUUUUAGACAACUUUAUACAUUUACUUGUUUAUUGAGUUGCCUAUAUAAAAAUAAAUUAACCUCAAAAGUA
Long non-coding RNA from Onthophagus taurus, 593 nucleotides. RefSeq lists it as uncharacterized. Lineage: Eukaryota; Metazoa; Arthropoda; Insecta; Coleoptera; Scarabaeidae. The record is from RefSeq and is a predicted model, not a curated record.